GUGAACGCUGGCGGUAGGCCUAACACAUGCAAGUCGAACGGCAGUACCGUAAGAGCUUGCUCUUACGGGUGGCGAGUGGCGGACGGGUGAGGAAUACAUCGGAAUCUACUUUUUCGUGGGGGAUAACGUAGGGAAACUUACGCUAAUACCGCAUACGACCUACGGGUGAAAGCAGGGGAUCUUCGGACCUUGCGCGAUUGAAUGAGCCGAUGUCGGAUUAGCUAGUUGGCGGGGUAAAGGCCCACCAAGGCGACGAUCCGUAGCUGGUCUGAGAGGAUGAUCAGCCACACUGGAACUGAGACACGGUCCAGACUCCUACGGGAGGCAGCAGUGGGGAAUAUUGGACAAUGGGCGCAAGCCUGAUCCAGCCAUACCGCGUGGGUGAAGAAGGCCUUCGGGUUGUAAAGCCCUUUUGUUGGGAAAGAAAAGCAGCAGGUUAAUACCCCGCUGUUCUGACGGUACCCAAAGAAUAAGCACCGGCUAACUUCGUG
RNAcentral lists this ribosomal RNA (491 nucleotides) under uncultured bacterium. RNAcentral describes it as "partial 16S ribosomal RNA". It matches the Rfam family "Bacterial small subunit ribosomal RNA", at positions 29 to 507 of the family's 1533-position model. The record is from RNAcentral.